Molecule: ribosomal RNA, 253 nt
Filed under: uncultured bacterium
Lineage: Bacteria
Description: partial 16S ribosomal RNA
Rfam family: Bacterial small subunit ribosomal RNA
Source: RNAcentral
UACAGAGGUCCCGAGCGUUGUCCGGAAUCAUUGGGCGUAAAGAGCGUGUAGGCGGCCCGGUAAGUCCGCUGUGAAAGUCGGGGGCUCAACCCUCGAAUGCCGGUGGAUACUGUCGGGCUAGAGUGCGGAAGAGGCGAGUGGAAUUCCUGGUGUAGCGGUGAAAUGCGCAGAUAUCAGGAGGAACACCGAUUGCGAAGGCAGCUCGCUGGGACGUCACUGACGCUGAGGCGCGAAAGCGUGGGGAGCGAACGGG